CAGUAUAUAGAAGUCCAUGAGUGUAUUAUACUGCAUCUAUGGUUGGCAAUGUUUGACCGUUCGUGCGGGAGGCAGAGUGUGAGCCGAUUAUUUUUAUUAUAAUCGUGCAGAAAAGCAAGAUGCGUCAAGUUAUGGUACAGUUUAUAUAUUGUCCUUAGUCUGGUGUAGCAUUGUGUAGUGUGGUGUCAAGUAUUGUGCAGUGUUAUUCGACCGCCCUAACGUGACAAGUUAUAAUGGCGGGCUCUAUAGAGAUACCACUCCGUGAUACAGACGAGGUCAUAGAACUUUAUUUAGACCAGUUACCAGAAGGAGAUGAAGUUCUGGGGAUUCUACGGCAGGAACAUGCCCAACUUAAUAUCUGGGUCAAUUUGGCCCUCGAAUAUUAUAAGCAGCAAAAGAUUGAAGACUUCAUUAAGAUACUCGAAUCUUCUCGUCUUGAUGCAAAUAUUGAUUAUCGUGAUUAUGAAAAGGAUCAGAUGCGAGCUCUUGAUAUGUUGGCUGCCUAUUAUGUCCAGGAAGCUAACAAGGAAAAGAAUAAGGACAAAAAAAGAGAUCUCUUUACAAAAGCUACAUUACUGUAUACAACAGCUGACAAGAUCAUCAUGUAUGACCAGAAUCAUUUGCUUGGCCGAGCUUACUUCUGUUUGCUCGAAGGCGAUAAAAUGGAUCAGGCUGACGCACAGUUCAAUUUCGUGCUGAAUCAGUCGCCAAAUAAUAUACCCUCUCUGCUGGGUAAAGCUUGCAUCGCUUUCAACAAAAAAGACUACAGAGGUGCUCUUGCGUUUUAUAAGAAAGCCCUGAGAACUAAUCCAAACUGUCCAGCCGCUGUUAGGCUGGGAAUGGGACAUUGUUUCAUGAAAUUGAAUAAUCAGGAGAAAGCGCGACUUGCAUUCGAGAGAGCUUUACAGUUGGACGGACAAUGCGUCGGUGCGCUGGUUGGCCUUUCAGUCUUGAAAUUAAAUCAGCAACAGCCCGACAGCAUAAGAACUGGCGUGCAAAUGUUAUCGAAGGCGUAUACGAUUGACUCGACAAAUCCAAUGGUGUUGAACCAUUUAGCGAACCAUUUCUUCUUCAAAAAAGAUUACAAUAAAGUUCAACAUUUAGCACUGCACGCUUUUCACAAUACGGAAAAUGAGGCCAUGCGGGCGGAAAGUUGCUAUCAACUAGCCAGAGCAUUUCACGUCCAAGGUGAUUACGAUCAAGCGUUUCAAUAUUACUAUCAGGCGACACAGUUUGCUCCGCCUGUAUUUGUAUUACCACAUUUUGGUUUAGGACAAAUGUAUGUUUAUCGCGGUGAUGCAGAAAAUGCUGCCCAGUGCUUCGAGAAAGUUUUGAAAGCACAACCAGGCAAUUAUGAAACUAUGAAGAUUCUCGGCUCACUUUAUGCUAAUUCGAGCUCGCAAUCAAAACGCGAUAUUGCAAAAAAUCAUUUACGUAAAGUAACGGAACAGUUUCCUGAUGAUGUCGAAGCUUGGAUCGAGCUAGCGCAAAUAUUGGAGCAAAGUGAUCUGAACGCAGCUUUGAAUGCUUAUGGAACCGCAACCAGGAUUUUGAAAGAGAAAGUUCAAGCGGACAUACCACCAGAGAUCUUGAAUAAUGUGGGAGCGUUACAUUACAGGCUUGGUAACUUGGAAGAAGCCAGAAAAAACCUAGAGGAAUCCCUGGCACGUUCGAAAGCGGACGCCUUACACGAUUCUGUAUAUUACAAUUCGAUAGCAGUGACCACGACGUAUAACUUAGCGCGACUCAAUGAGGCACUAUGCAUAUUUGAUCGGGCGGAGAAAUUGUACAAAGACAUUUUGAAGGAACAUCCGAAUUACGUAGAUUGUUAUCUGAGACUCGGCUGCAUGGCUAGAGACAAGGGACAGAUAUACGAGGCGUCCGAUUGGUUCAAAGACGCCUUGAGAAUCAAUAAUGAACAUCCGGACGCGUGGUCGCUAUUGGGUAAUUUGCAUCUGGCCAAAAUGGAAUGGGGUCCCGGUCAGAAGAAAUUCGAGAGAAUUUUAAAAAAUCCGACGUCUAGUACUGACGCUUACUCCUUGAUAGCGUUGGGAAAUAUUUGGUUACAAACAUUACAUCAAAGUGGAAAAGAUAAAGAAAGGGAAAAGCGACAUCAGGAUCGAGCAUUAGCUAUGUACAAACAGGUUCUGAGAAAUGAUCCAAAAAACAUUUGGGCCGCAAACGGCAUUGGCGCGGUGCUUGCGCACAAGGGUUGCGUAAACGAAGCUAGAGAUAUAUUCGCUCAAGUGCGCGAAGCAACAGCAGAAUUCUGUGAUGUCUGGUUGAAUAUUGCGCAUAUUUAUGUGGAGCAGAAACAAUUCGUCAGUGCUAUUCAAAUGUACGAAAAUUGUUUGCGUAAAUUCUAUAAAUAUCAUCACGUUGAAGUCCUACAAUAUCUUGGUAGAGCUUAUUUUAAAGCUGGCAAGUUAAAGGAAGCAAAAUUGACGUUAUUAAAAGCGCGCAGAGUAGCCCCACAGGAUACUGUCUUAUUGUACAAUAUUGCUCUUGUACUCCAACGACUGGCCACGCAAAUUCUUAAAGAUGAAAAAUCGACUUUGACCACUGUACUUCAAGCAGUUCACGAAUUGGGUCUUUCGCAUAAGUAUUUCCAAUAUUUGUCGGCGCAUGGCGAUAGGAUGGAACAACUGGCUGAAGCUGAAGCCAGGAGAUGUCAAGAUUUAUUAUCACAAGCACAGUAUCAUGUUGCUAGAGCUAGAAGAUUAGACGAGGAAGAGAAAAUGUUGAGGCGGAAGCAAGAAGAGGAAAGGCAAGCUUUUAAAAUGCGUCAGACGGAAGAGCAACGUAAACUGGAAGAGAUGCGUCGUCAGAAAGAGGAGGAAAUGUUGCAGAAGCGACAGGAAUACGUGGAGAAAACUAAGAACGCACUGGUAUUCGGCGAAAUGCCGUCGGAAAAACCUGGAAGAAAGGGCAAGAAAGUACGAACUGAUCAGUAUGUCAGUGAUAGUGGAGGUUCCGACAGAGAUGAAGGCAGGGAGGAAGUGCCGAAGGAAAGAAAACGUAAGAGAAAACCUAGUGGUGAAACUAAGGAGAGAAAGAGUAAAGGUAAAGGCAGACGUAGGAAGGACGCCGGAAGUGGCAACAGCGGAUCGGACAGUGACCAACCGAAACGCAAACGAGGUAAGAAGACUGGGGGGACUAAGAAAGAAAAAUCGCGUAAGGGCGCAGUUGAGACUCUUAAGGGUAAGCUGGUUAAAUCGAAGGAAACUAUUUCAACAAGUGAGUCAGACAGCGAUACGGGUGGCCUUAAAAUCGCCAGCGGCGGCGAAAGCGGUAACGAGAAUCAACCACGCAGUAGCAGACGAAUUGCGUCUGAUUCCGAAGGUUCUCGCGCUUCACGUUCGCGAUCUCGUUCAAGAUCAAAGUCUGGAAGCCGCUCGAGAAGUAGUUCGCGUUCGCGUUCGCGUUCGCGUUCGCGUUCCGGUUCCCGUUCAAGAUCGCCAUCUCGAUCUCGAUCUCGUUCUCGAUCUCGAUCUCGUUCUCGAUCUCGAUCUCGAUCAGUCUCUAGAUCCAGAUCCAGAAGCAUCUCGAAAUCAAGAAGUCGUUCGGUAUCCGGGUCAAGAUCAGGGUCGGCCAAAAGUAGGUCAAGAUCGAGGUCAGGUUCGCGCAAGAGUGGCUCUCGAUCAAGGUCUAACAGCGGCUCACGAAGAAGUGGAUCAAAGCCAAGAUCAAGAUCAAGUUCGAGAAAGAGCGGUUCUAGGUCGAGGUCACCGAGUGGUUCACGGAAAGGCGUAUCACGAUCGAGGUCUCGAUCCAAAAGCGGAUCGCGUUCAGGCUCGGAAGAACGUCAAUCUAGAAGCAAGAGUCGAUCGCGAUCUAAAUCAAAGUCUGUUUCGAGAUCUAAGUCGAGAUCGAAAAGCGGUAGCAGAUCGCGAUCGCGUUCUAGGUCGAAAAGCGGUUCUCGAAGCCGGAGUCCAAGCGGAUCGGCACGAUCUGCGUCUCCAGUAUCUAGAAAAUCAGUGUCAGGAAGCGGUGGUAGUGAUAGCGAAUAAAUCAACCGUUCUUGCAAUUGUAAGUUGGUAUAUCACAGUGAAAAAAACCAAUUACACGUAAAUAACAUAUAUAAUUUUUGUAAAAACGUUUCCUGAAGUUCUUUCAAUUACAGCAAAUCUCUCUUACAUCUCGUCAUUUGAUAGAAUAUAUUAUUAACGAAAGCGCAAGUUGAAAGACCAAAUACUCUGAAGUAAGACAAUUUAUCAGAUAAAGAUCAUUAUUAAACUUUUUUUUCUGAUUUUUUAAUCUUGAAA
This 4265-nucleotide unclassified non-coding RNA is filed under the name Monomorium pharaonis (pharaoh ant). RNAcentral's name for it is "rNA polymerase-associated protein CTR9 homolog, transcript variant X1". The record is from RNAcentral. Lineage: Eukaryota; Metazoa; Arthropoda; Insecta; Hymenoptera; Formicidae.